AUGAGUUCAUCACCACUAUUGCCUUCUAACAUGCAUUAUUCCAACAAAAAGUUUCAUAGUAUUUUAUCAUUUUUUUGUUCACUCAACAUAGCAAUAAGUUGUGGAACAACUCUCUAUUGUGCAUACAACCAAAAUGACAUACCUAUGAUAAUCUUCGUAAUUUUUGUCUACUCUAGUUCAUUUUUAUUGAACCAUUGGUCAAAUUUGUACCAUAAGUUAUCUCGGCCCGACCGAGUUUCUUCGAAGGGACGUAACAUAAAAAUC
Molecule: non-coding RNA, 264 nt
Organism: Vicia faba (fava bean)
Lineage: Eukaryota; Viridiplantae; Streptophyta; Magnoliopsida; Fabales; Fabaceae
Source: the annotation of a GenBank genome assembly